This 692-nucleotide long non-coding RNA is filed under the name Phasianus colchicus (ring-necked pheasant). Its description in RNAcentral is "lncRNA (ENSPCLG00000001039.1)". The record is from RNAcentral. Lineage: Eukaryota; Metazoa; Chordata; Aves; Galliformes; Phasianidae.
GAGCCCAGUGAGGGGCUGGGUCCAAGGGCUCCCUGGGGGGUCAGGGUAGAGUCUGACAGACAGGGCCCAUCCCUCUGCCCCAGAUGGGAGCAAAGCAGCCAGAGGGCACCAGGGCAGCUCCAGCCGUGGGCAUCAGGCAGUGCUGUGGAAAUAGAUAGGACGUGGGUCCUGGGGUCCUGCAGGGCACAGAUCUGGUGCUGGAUAUAUCAGUCCAGGACUGGUGGCACUGUGCUGGGCUGAGGACCAGGACAGUUCCUCAGGGUGUCCUCAGGGCCCUAGUCAUACGGUGGUGAAAGUCCUGAAUACUCAAGUGUAAGGGCCAGUGCUUUGCUCCAUUGCACCACAAGACAACAAGAAGCAUCCCAUUCCAGAGGGAAAGGCCAUGUUUCAGAAGGAUGACCAACAAACAUAUUUGGUCAAGAUGCAGACUCAUGCUCAGUAAUCAGAAAGUGGUGCUUUCUAUAGCACAGAUAGCCCAUCCAGUGCCAUACAUUGAACUUGAAAAAGAUAGAUGGGUGUCUGUUUUCUUGAGUAAUAGUUGACAGCAUCUUCAGUAAGCUCAUGCAUGCCACAGGCAUUUCUGCACUUCAGGUAAGAAGAUGAUUAUAUCAGCACUGGAACUUGAAAUCUUUACAGUGCGAUAACUUAUCUUCCUAAAAUAUUUCACCAUUUCAAUAGUCACAAGAAUUGUU